RNAcentral lists this ribosomal RNA (765 nucleotides) under uncultured Streptococcus sp. RNAcentral's name for it is "bacterial SSU rRNA". It matches the Rfam family "Bacterial small subunit ribosomal RNA", at positions 28 to 776 of the family's 1533-position model. Lineage: Bacteria; Bacillati; Bacillota; Bacilli; Lactobacillales; Streptococcaceae. The record is from RNAcentral.
GACGAACGCUGGCGGCGUGCCUAAUACAUGCAAGUAGAACGCUGAAGAGAGGAGCUUGCUCUUCUUGGAAGAGUUGCGAACGGGUGAGUAACGCGUAGGUAACCUGCCUUGUAGCGGGGGAUAACUAUUGGAAACGAUAGCUAAUACCGCAUAACAAUGGGUGACCCAUGUCAUUCAUUUAAAAGGGGCAACUGCUCCACUACAAGAUGGACCUGCGUUGUAUUAGCUAGUAGGUGAGGUAACGGCUCACCUAGGCGACGAUACAUAGCCGACCUGAGAGGGUGAUCGGCCACACUGGGACUGAGACACGGCCCAGACUCCUACGGGAGGCAGCAGUAGGGAAUCUUCGGCAAUGGACGGAAGUCUGACCGAGCAACGCCGCGUGAGUGAAGAAGGUUUUCGGAUCGUAAAGCUCUGUUGUAAGAGAAGAACGAGUGUGAGAGUGGAAAGUUCACACUGUGACGGUAUCUUACCAGAAAGGGACGGCUAACUACGUGCCAGCAGCCGCGGUAAUACGUAGGUCCCGAGCGUUGUCCGGAUUUAUUGGGCGUAAAGCGAGCGCAGGCGGUUAGAUAAGUCUGAAGUUAAAGGCUGUGGCUUAACCAUAGUACGCUUUGGAAACUGUUUAACUUGAGUGCAAGAGGGGAGAGUGGAAUUCCAUGUGUAGCGGUGAAAUGCGUAGAUAUAUGGAGGAACACCGGUGGCGAAAGCGGCUCUCUGGCUUGUAACUGACGCUGAGGCUCGAAAGCGUGGGGAGCAAACAGG